AUUCAGGUCCCAUGCAGAAUAACGUUGGCAAACCCCGCCAGAGCCGGAAGGCAGCAACGGUAGUCAAAGGUUGUCGUGCCGUGGUGUACCUGAAUCCU
Molecule: signal recognition particle RNA, 98 nt
Filed under: Treponema sp.
Lineage: Bacteria; Pseudomonadati; Spirochaetota; Spirochaetia; Treponematales; Treponemataceae
Description: signal recognition particle sRNA small type
Rfam family: Bacterial small signal recognition particle RNA
About the family: The signal recognition particle (SRP) is a universally conserved ribonucleoprotein involved in the co-translational targeting of proteins to membranes. Archaeal SRP consists of a 7S RNA and homologues of the eukaryotic SRP19 and SRP54 proteins.
Source: RNAcentral